AUGUCUGCAGAGUCCAGGACGUGGCUCCCGCCCAGAACCCGAUGCUGAGGGCUGUGGCUGAGACCAAAGGCGUGCCCAGACUAGCUCUUGCCCCCCUGCAGACCGGGGGCUGCCCAGGUCAUCAGCUUGCACCAGUCUUCAGGCAGUGCGGGCAGCGGGAGCAAGAGCAGGCUGGACAAUGGUAA
Molecule: long non-coding RNA, 185 nt
Filed under: Ailuropoda melanoleuca (giant panda)
Lineage: Eukaryota; Metazoa; Chordata; Mammalia; Carnivora; Ursidae
Description: lncRNA (ENSAMEG00000027883.1)
Source: RNAcentral